This 74-nucleotide transfer RNA is filed under the name bacterium. RNAcentral describes it as "tRNA-Gly". It matches the Rfam family "tRNA". Rfam says of the family: Transfer RNA (tRNA) molecules are approximately 80 nucleotides in length. The record is from RNAcentral. RNAcentral also lists the same sequence under 2 other names.
GCGGGAGUAGCUCAAUGGUAGAGUGCCAGCCUUCCAAGCUGGCGAUGUGGGUUCGAUUCCCAUCUCCCGCUCCA